UCGGAGCCUGCAACCCGGCUCCGUGAAGCUGGAUUCGCUAGUAAUCGCGCAUCAGCCAUGGCGCGGUGAAUACGUUCCCGGGCCUUGUACACACCGCCCGUCAAGCCAUGGGAGCCGGGGGGCGCCUGAAGUGCGGUACCGCGAGGGCCGCCCAAGGGCGAGACCGGUGACUGGGGCUAAGUCGUAACAAGGUAGC
This 196-nucleotide ribosomal RNA is filed under the name uncultured bacterium. RNAcentral's name for it is "partial 16S ribosomal RNA". It matches the Rfam family "Bacterial small subunit ribosomal RNA", at positions 1298 to 1500 of the family's 1533-position model. The record is from RNAcentral.